This 246-nucleotide unclassified non-coding RNA is filed under the name uncultured Streptococcaceae bacterium. RNAcentral describes it as "contains 16S-23S intergenic spacer region". Lineage: Bacteria; Bacillati; Bacillota; Bacilli; Lactobacillales; Streptococcaceae. The record is from RNAcentral.
AGGUCUUGACAUACUCGUGCUAUUCCUAUCUCUAGGAAUAGCACGAGUAUGUCAAGACCUGGUAAGGUUCUUCGCGUUGCUUCGAAUUAAACCACAUGCUCCACCGCUUGUGCGGGCCCCCGUCAAUUCCUUUGAGUUUCAACCUUGCGGUCGUACUCCCCAGGCGGAGUGCUUAUUGCGUUAGCUGCGAUACAGAGAACUUAUAGCUCCCUACAUCUAGCACUCAUCGUUUACGGCGUGGACUAC